Molecule: unclassified non-coding RNA, 249 nt
Filed under: plant metagenome
Description: partial contains small subunit ribosomal RNA, internal transcribed spacer 1, and 5.8S ribosomal RNA
Rfam family: 5.8S ribosomal RNA (bases 201-249)
Source: RNAcentral
UCUCCGUAGGUGAACCUGCGGAGGGAUCAUUACAGAGUUCAUGCCCUACCGGGUAGAUCUCCCACCCUAUGUUAUUAUUACUUUGUUGCUUUGGCGGGCCGUUAGGCUCCGGCCCGACUACCGGCCCCGGCUGGUAAGCGCCCGCCAGAGGACCCAAAACCCCGAAUAUUAGUGUCGUCUGAGUACUAUAUAAUAGUUAAAACUUUCAACAACGGAUCUCUUGGUUCUGGCUUCGAUGAAGAACGCAGC